AAACUUAGGUUAAUUAAACCAAGAGCCUUCAAAGCCCUAAAUAAGGAUCCUGCCCCUUAGUUUUUGUA
Molecule: transfer RNA, 68 nt
Filed under: Anolis antonii (Anton's anole)
Lineage: Eukaryota; Metazoa; Chordata; Lepidosauria; Squamata; Anolidae
Also listed under: 1 other name
Description: tRNA-Trp
Source: RNAcentral